ACUUAAUAUCAUGUUUAUCUGUUUAUUCAGAUUUCAUUUGCUUGCCUUUUUCAGUUCAUCUUGUUCAUUUGAACUGACCGAAUGGAUCGAAGUUGUUUGUCGAAGCCUGCGGAUAUGAUCCGGCGGCGGCACCAGUAGCAUCUCGAUUGUAUCCACCCGCAAAGGAAUUGGCAGCGGUGGCGGGAUCCACAAAACG
Long non-coding RNA from Hibiscus syriacus, 196 nucleotides. RefSeq lists it as uncharacterized. The transcript is spliced from 3 exons. NCBI's taxonomy places the organism in Eukaryota, Viridiplantae, Streptophyta, Magnoliopsida, Malvales, Malvaceae. The record is from RefSeq and is a predicted model, not a curated record.